RNAcentral lists this ribosomal RNA (2902 nucleotides) under Klebsiella pneumoniae. RNAcentral describes it as "23S ribosomal RNA". It matches the Rfam family "Bacterial large subunit ribosomal RNA". RNAcentral also lists the same sequence under 1 other name. The record is from RNAcentral. Lineage: Bacteria; Pseudomonadati; Pseudomonadota; Gammaproteobacteria; Enterobacterales; Enterobacteriaceae.
GGUUAAGCGACUAAGCGUACACGGUGGAUGCCCUGGCAGUCAGAGGCGAUGAAGGACGUGCUAAUCUGCGAAAAGCGUCGGUAAGGUGAUAUGAACCGUUAUAACCGGCGAUGUCCGAAUGGGGAAACCCAGUGCAAUUCGUUGCACUAUCGUUAACUGAAUACAUAGGUUAACGAGGCGAACCGGGGGAACUGAAACAUCUAAGUACCCCGAGGAAAAGAAAUCAACCGAGAUUCCCCCAGUAGCGGCGAGCGAACGGGGAGCAGCCCAGAGUCUGAAUCAGCUUGUGUGUUAGUGGAACGGUCUGGAAAGUCCGACGGUACAGGGUGAUAGUCCCGUACACCAAAAUGCACAGGCUGUGAACUCGAAGAGUAGGGCGGGACACGUGGUAUCCUGUCUGAAUAUGGGGGGACCAUCCUCCAAGGCUAAAUACUCCUGACUGACCGAUAGUGAACCAGUACCGUGAGGGAAAGGCGAAAAGAACCCCGGCGAGGGGAGUGAAAAAGAACCUGAAACCGUGUACGUACAAGCAGUGGGAGCACCUUCGGGUGUGACUGCGUACCUUUUGUAUAAUGGGUCAGCGACUUAUAUUCUGUAGCAAGGUUAACCGUAUAGGGGAGCCGCAGGGAAACCGAGUCUUAACUGGGCGUUAAGUUGCAGGGUAUAGACCCGAAACCCGGUGAUCUAGCCAUGGGCAGGUUGAAGGUUGGGUAACACUAACUGGAGGACCGAACCGACUAAUGUUGAAAAAUUAGCGGAUGACUUGUGGCUGGGGGUGAAAGGCCAAUCAAACCGGGAGAUAGCUGGUUCUCCCCGAAAGCUAUUUAGGUAGCGCCUCGUGAACUCAUCUUCGGGGGUAGAGCACUGUUUCGGCUAGGGGGUCAUCCCGACUUACCAACCCGAUGCAAACUACGAAUACCGAAGAAUGUUAUCACGGGAGACACACGGCGGGUGCUAACGUCCGUCGUGAAGAGGGAAACAACCCAGACCGCCAGCUAAGGUCCCAAAGUCAUGGUUAAGUGGGAAACGAUGUGGGAAGGCACAGACAGCCAGGAUGUUGGCUUAGAAGCAGCCAUCAUUUAAAGAAAGCGUAAUAGCUCACUGGUCGAGUCGGCCUGCGCGGAAGAUGUAACGGGGCUAAACCAUGCACCGAAGCUGCGGCAGCGACACUAUGUGUUGUUGGGUAGGGGAGCGUUCUGUAAGCCUGCGAAGGUGACCUGUGAGGGUUGCUGGAGGUAUCAGAAGUGCGAAUGCUGACAUAAGUAACGAUAAAGCGGGUGAAAAGCCCGCUCGCCGGAAGACCAAGGGUUCCUGUCCAACGUUAAUCGGGGCAGGGUGAGUCGACCCCUAAGGCGAGGCCGAAAGGCGUAGUCGAUGGGAAACAGGUUAAUAUUCCUGUACUUGGUGUUACUGCGAAGGGGGGACGGAGAAGGCUAUGUUAGCCGGGCGACGGUUGUCCCGGUUUAAGCAUGUAGGCUGGUUAUCCAGGCAAAUCCGGAUAAUCAAGGCUGAGGUGUGAUGACGAGGCACUACGGUGCUGAAGUAACAAAUGCCCUGCUUCCAGGAAAAGCCUCUAAGCAUCAGGUAACAUCAAAUCGUACCCCAAACCGACACAGGUGGUCAGGUAGAGAAUACCAAGGCGCUUGAGAGAACUCGGGUGAAGGAACUAGGCAAAAUGGUGCCGUAACUUCGGGAGAAGGCACGCUGGUGUGUAGGUGAAGUCCCUGCGGAUGGAGCUGAGACCAGUCGAAGAUACCAGCUGGCUGCAACUGUUUAUUAAAAACACAGCACUGUGCAAACACGAAAGUGGACGUAUACGGUGUGACGCCUGCCCGGUGCCGGAAGGUUAAUUGAUGGGGUUAUCCGUAAGGAGAAGCUCUUGAUCGAAGCCCCGGUAAACGGCGGCCGUAACUAUAACGGUCCUAAGGUAGCGAAAUUCCUUGUCGGGUAAGUUCCGACCUGCACGAAUGGCGUAAUGAUGGCCAGGCUGUCUCCACCCGAGACUCAGUGAAAUUGAACUCGCUGUGAAGAUGCAGUGUACCCGCGGCAAGACGGAAAGACCCCGUGAACCUUUACUAUAGCUUGACACUGAACAUUGAGCCUUGAUGUGUAGGAUAGGUGGGAGGCUUUGAAGCGUGGACGCCAGUCUGCGUGGAGCCAACCUUGAAAUACCACCCUUUAAUGUUUGAUGUUCUAACGUUGGCCCCUUACCGGGGUUGCGGACAGUGUCUGGUGGGUAGUUUGACUGGGGCGGUCUCCUCCCAAAGCGUAACGGAGGAGCACGAAGGUUAGCUAAUCCUGGUCGGACAUCAGGAGGUUAGUGCAAUGGCAUAAGCUAGCUUGACUGCGAGCGUGACGGCGCGAGCAGGUGCGAAAGCAGGUCAUAGUGAUCCGGUGGUUCUGAAUGGAAGGGCCAUCGCUCAACGGAUAAAAGGUACUCCGGGGAUAACAGGCUGAUACCGCCCAAGAGUUCAUAUCGACGGCGGUGUUUGGCACCUCGAUGUCGGCUCAUCACAUCCUGGGGCUGAAGUAGGUCCCAAGGGUAUGGCUGUUCGCCAUUUAAAGUGGUACGCGAGCUGGGUUUAGAACGUCGUGAGACAGUUCGGUCCCUAUCUGCCGUGGGCGCUGGAGAAUUGAGGGGGGCUGCUCCUAGUACGAGAGGACCGGAGUGGACGCAUCACUGGUGUUCGGGUUGUCAUGCCAAUGGCACUGCCCGGUAGCUAAAUGCGGAAGAGAUAAGUGCUGAAAGCAUCUAAGCACGAAACUUGCCCCGAGAUGAGUUCUCCCUGAGACUUUAAGUCUCCUGAAGGAACGUUGAAGACGACGACGUUGAUAGGCCGGGUGUGUAAGCGCAGCGAUGCGUUGAGCUAACCGGUACUAAUGAACCGUGAGGCUUAACCUU